RNAcentral lists this ribosomal RNA (253 nucleotides) under uncultured bacterium. Its description in RNAcentral is "partial 16S ribosomal RNA". It matches the Rfam family "Bacterial small subunit ribosomal RNA", at positions 524 to 776 of the family's 1533-position model. The record is from RNAcentral.
UACGAAGGGGGCUAGCGUUGUUCGGAAUCACUGGGCGUAAAGCGCACGCAGGCGGAUCGUUAAGUCAGGGGUGAAAUCCUGGAGCUCAACUCCAGAACUGCCUUUGAUACUGAGAAUCUUGAGUACGGGAGAGGUGAGUGGAACUGCGAGUGUAGAGGUGAAAUUCGUAGAUAUUCGCAAGAACACCAGUGGCGAAGGCGGCUCACUGGCCCGUAACUGACGCUGAGGCACGAAAGCGUGGGGAGCAAACAGG